GUGCUCGCUUCCGCAGCAGAUAUGAAAAUUGGAACGAUACAGAGAUUAGCAUGGCCCUUAAAAAUACACAAAACAAAAAAAGACAUUAUGCCAAAUUUCU
Molecule: small nuclear RNA, 100 nt
Filed under: Nomascus leucogenys (northern white-cheeked gibbon)
Lineage: Eukaryota; Metazoa; Chordata; Mammalia; Primates; Hylobatidae
Source: RNAcentral